RNAcentral lists this long non-coding RNA (968 nucleotides) under Ursus maritimus (polar bear). RNAcentral describes it as "lncRNA (ENSUMAG00000008998.1)". The record is from RNAcentral. Lineage: Eukaryota; Metazoa; Chordata; Mammalia; Carnivora; Ursidae.
GGAAGACCACGUUCAUCUGAGCCAGCAACGCCGGCUUUCAGGGGAGCCCCUGAGACCUGGUGCCCGCAGCUCACAGAUUCAGGCUGGCUCACUGGGGCUGCCCCUGUGCCCAUGAUGGGGAUGGGGAUGCCGAGGCCCAGUGGAAUCUCCCAGGCCCAGGAUGCCGGUAGCAAUGGCUGUCCUUGCCCCAUGCUCCAGGUUUUUGCCAGGGCAGUUCUUCAUCUCUCCUGAUAACGGACGUCUUCAAGUCUCAAGACUCUUCCAGCGACCACCUCCUCCCAGCAACCUGCCCGGUCAGACCCUACUUCUGAGUUGGCUCGGGCUAGGGGUGCCCCAGUCUCCUUCCGGCUCCCCCACACUGGAGUCCCUUGAGGACAAAGCCUGGAACCGGAGCCUUGGAGCCCCCAACCUCCAAGGCCAGGCCCUGACCAUGUUUCCUGCGAGCGUUCCCAACUAUCCACCUUUUGGGUCAGCUCCAGUGGUGGAAACUUUCCAGCCGGAGGAGGCCGCUUGUUUUGGAAAGUUCCUGGGGGAGCCGCCCCCGCCCGCCCGCCGGGUUCCCACGCUCCCUUAUCACUGGGUGCUAGGGGGGCGCAGUGCUGUGCCUGCCUAGCUCCUCCCCAGCUGACCUCCUUGGCCCUGCCCCCUCCCUUCCCCUCCUCUCCCCACCGAACACUGGCCCCCUUCAGCCAGGCCCUGCCAAGCCCUCCUGCUACAGGUAGGGAAACCCAGGCCUCGCAGCGCCGCCUACACACUCCGUGUGAGCCCUGUCAGGCGUGCCUGGUGGGGUAGUCCCGCUCAGGAAGGGGGAGCAGAGGCGGCCGCUGCUGGGGGAGGGCCUGGCUGUGGAGUCUGAGCCCCGGCUCAGUCUUUGGCUCCAGUUUGCGCUGCAGUGUCUCGGACCCAGGUGCCCAGCCCUCCUGCCCAGCUCCACCUCCUGCCUGGUGGCUGGGCCUGGCGCUCUCUUC